UACGGAGGGUGCAAACGUUGCUCGGAAUUAUUGGGCGUAAAGCGCUCGUAGGCGGUUUGUUAAGUCGGGUGUGAAAGCCCAGGGCUCAACCCUGGAAGUGCACUCGAAACUGGCGAACUUGAAUAUGGAAGAGGGUCGCGGAAUUCCCGGUGUAGAGGUGAAAUUCGUAGAUAUCGGGAGGAACACCAGUGGCGAAAGCGGCGACCUGGGCCAAUAUUGACGCUGAGGAGCGAAAGCGUGGGGAGCAAACAGG
RNAcentral lists this ribosomal RNA (253 nucleotides) under uncultured bacterium. Its description in RNAcentral is "partial 16S ribosomal RNA". It matches the Rfam family "Bacterial small subunit ribosomal RNA", at positions 524 to 776 of the family's 1533-position model. The record is from RNAcentral.